This 387-nucleotide ribosomal RNA is filed under the name uncultured bacterium. Its description in RNAcentral is "bacterial SSU rRNA". It matches the Rfam family "Bacterial small subunit ribosomal RNA", at positions 30 to 400 of the family's 1533-position model. The record is from RNAcentral.
AGUGAACGCUGGCGGCAGGCCUAACACAUGCAAGUCGAGCGGCAGCGGGUCCCCGCGAGGGAUGCCGGCGAGCGGCGGACGGGUGAGGAACACAUCGGAAUCUGCCUGGUUGUGGGGGAUAACGUAGGGAAACUUACGCUAAUACCGCAUGCGACCCUGAGUCGACGGACUGGGGGGUGAAAGUGAGGGACCUUCGGGCCUCACGCGACCAGAUGAGCCGAUGUCGGANAGCUAGUUGGCGGGGUAACGGCCCGCCAAGGCGACGAUCCGUAGCUGGUCUGAGAGGAUGAUCAGCCACACUGGGACUGAGACACGGCCCAGACUCCUACGGGAGGCAGCAGUGGGGAAUAUUGCGCAAUGGGCGAAAGCCUGACGCAGCGACGCCGC